This 631-nucleotide ribosomal RNA is filed under the name uncultured bacterium. RNAcentral describes it as "bacterial SSU rRNA". It matches the Rfam family "Bacterial small subunit ribosomal RNA", at positions 232 to 873 of the family's 1533-position model. The record is from RNAcentral.
CGCGGCCUAUCAGCUUGUUGGUGGGGUAGUGGCCUACCAAGGCGACGACGGGUAGCCGGCCUGAGAGGGCGACCGGCCACACUGGGACUGAGACACGGCCCAGACUCCUACGGGAGGCAGCAGUGGGGAAUAUUGCGCAAUGGGCGAAAGCCUGACGCAGCGACGCCGCGUGAGGGAUGACGGCCUUCGGGUUGUAAACCUCUUUCAGCAGGGACGAAGCGCAAGUGACGGUACCUGCAGAAGAAGCACCGGCUAACUACGUGCCAGCAGCCGCGGUAAUACGUAGGGUGCGAGCGUUGUCCGGAAUUAUUGGGCGUAAAGAGCUCGUAGGUGGUUUGUCGCGUUGUUCGUGAAAACUCACAGCUCAACUGUGGGCGUGCGGGCGAUACGGGCAGACUGGAGUACUGCAGGGGAGACUGGAAUUCCUGGUGUAGCGGUGGAAUGCGCAGAUAUCAGGAGGAACACCGGUGGCGAAGGCGGGUCUCUGGGCAGUAACUGACGCUGAGGAGCGAAAGCGUGGGGAGCGAACAGGAUUAGAUACCCUGGUAGUCCACGCCGUAAACGGUGGGUACUAGGUGUGGGUUUCCUUCCUUGGGAUCCGUGCCGUAGCUAACGCAUUAAGUACCCCGCC